Non-coding RNA from Lactuca sativa (garden lettuce), 805 nucleotides. The record is from RefSeq and is a predicted model, not a curated record. Lineage: Eukaryota; Viridiplantae; Streptophyta; Magnoliopsida; Asterales; Asteraceae.
UCGGUAUUUCCUCAUACUGUUCAGCCGAUUGAAUCGGUCAACGGAAGAUAUACUCUAUAUGGCAUCUCCUCCCUCAUUUUGGUCGCCAUAGUGUUGCCUUCAACCACUCACGAUCGCCAUCUCUCUCUAAAAAUACCCUAAAAUCCAUAACCACGCUGCCAUCCCUCUAUUUAUGUCGAGAAAAAAUCACCUUAAACCCUAAAUGACGUUGUCAUCUCCACCACCAUCAUUGAUAUUAUAGAUUACAUCUUUUUUUCUUAUUUAUGUUUUAUUUGGAUUUUCAGGACUCAAGAGACGAUGCACGACCAUCACCGCCCUCUGUUCCGGUCGUAAUCCUCCAAGUAUGAUUUUACAUAAUCUUCCGAUCACCUUCUUCCUCUCUAUUUUCUUCACAUGUUUCGGUCACCACUCACCACCACACACCACCCUGUUGUCCGUUUAAAAAUUGUAGACACUACCCUAAUGCAAAUAAGCUUUUAACCUAUUCUGUGAAGUGUUUGUUUGUUUUUGUAGUUGUUUUGUUUUGAAGAACUAGGCAAGGCACCCCAUGUGUUCGAUGGAAUGCCCCAUAUAAGAUGCACAUUCUUAUUAUGCUCCAUCUCUUCUCAUUCUCAUGCUCAUGGACUUCAAAAAAGAGUUACAAACUCAUGGUGUUCCAAUAGGUUUGAUUUUAUUUUCUUUUUAUCGCAAGUUUUUUUUCCUAAGUCUGUUGUGUUAUUGAGACUGGGAGAUAUUCCGUUUUUACUUCAACUGAAUCAAUAGGUUUGAUUCAGUUAUUAAGACUGGGAGAUAUUCCCUUUCUCAA